AGUGAACGCUGGCGGUAUGCCUAACACAUGCAAGUCGAACGGCAGCACAGUAAGGGCUGGCGCUGACGGGUGGCGGGGGGCGGAAGGGUGAGGAAUGCAUCGGGAUCUACGUUUUCGUGGGGGAUAACGGAGGGAAACUUACGCUAAGACCGCAUACUACCUGCGGGUGAAAGCAGGGGAUCUUCGGACCUUGCGCGAUGGAGUGAGCCGAGGUCGGAGGAGCUAGUUGGCGGGGUAAAGGCCCACCACGGCGACGAUCCGUAGCUGGUCUGAGAGGAUGAUCAGCCAAACUGGACCUGAGCCACGCCCCAGACCCCUACGGGAGGAAGCAGUGGGGAAUAUUGGCCAAUGGGCGAAAGCCUGAUCCAGCCAUACCGCGUGGGUGAAGAAGGCCUUCGGGUUGUAACGCCCUUUUGUCGGGACAGAAAAGCCGCAGGUUAAUCACCCGCUGUUCUGCCGGUACCCAAAGAAUAAGCACCGGCUAACUUCGU
RNAcentral lists this ribosomal RNA (491 nucleotides) under uncultured bacterium. Its description in RNAcentral is "partial 16S ribosomal RNA". It matches the Rfam family "Bacterial small subunit ribosomal RNA", at positions 30 to 506 of the family's 1533-position model. The record is from RNAcentral.